This 67-nucleotide transfer RNA is filed under the name bovine gut metagenome. It matches the Rfam family "tRNA". Rfam says of the family: Transfer RNA (tRNA) molecules are approximately 80 nucleotides in length. Their secondary structure includes four short double-helical elements and three loops (D, anti-codon, and T loops). Further hydrogen bonds mediate the characteristic L-shaped molecular structure. tRNAs have two regions of fundamental functional importance: the anti-codon, which is responsible for specific mRNA codon recognition, and the 3' end, to which the tRNAs corresponding amino acid is attached (by aminoacyl-tRNA synthetases). tRNAs cope with the degeneracy of the genetic code in two manners: having more than one tRNA (with a specific anti-codon) for a particular amino acid; and 'wobble' base-pairing, i.e. permitting non-standard base-pairing at the 3rd anti-codon position. The record is from RNAcentral.
AGGCGUGGUUCAAUGGUAGAACACCAGCCUUCCAAGCUGGAUACGUGGGUUCGAUUCCCAUCGCCUG